Non-coding RNA from Urocitellus parryii (Arctic ground squirrel), 1227 nucleotides. The record is from RefSeq and is a predicted model, not a curated record. Lineage: Eukaryota; Metazoa; Chordata; Mammalia; Rodentia; Sciuridae.
CGGCGCGGGCGCCAGCGGGGGAAGAGGGGUUCGGGGAAGAGUGAUGCGGGGCCCAGAGAGAAGAAGGUACUGUUGAUUGAACCCAGGGUCUUGUGCAUGUAUUCUACCACUGAGCAACACUCCCAGCUUGAUAUGCGUAUAAUGUGUAAGGAGUUCUGAUAAAUGCAAGACCAGCCAAGAAGAAAAAAAGAUGUGUAUGGAGUUGUAUGUGCUGCAGUUCCAAAUACGUUGCUGGGAGGAGACAGUUUUCAUUGCACCCAGGCAGCAGGGGAACCGAGCCCUUUGCUCACACUGUGCAGAUUGGGUGAUUGGAAGAAUUCUGCAGAGACUCUCCAUUGCCUAGCUGGAUGACUUCCUGGGGCUCUUUCUUCAAGAUUGCUGAUCCUUUUCCAGCCAUGAUACUAAACCCAUGAUCCUUUCCCAGAUGGUGACUGUAGRGUGUCUUGACCAUUCGGUGACCAGGCAGCUGCAGGCUUCCCCAUCCGGUUUGAGCCCAAGCAGAGGCCUUGAACCUUCCUAGAUGCCAGUGGAGAUACUUAUGUUGUCUAAAACAUGGAAAGAAACUGGCCCCAACCUGAGCCGAAGUUCUGUGAACCCUCCUGUCAACCCCUUGCCUGACCGCUGGCUGUGGCCACGCCAGGCUCAGCACCCUCUCCCUCUCGGUUGUGAGGAUGAACUCUGCCCUCUCUAGGUAUCUGUGAAGUGCCCUUCAGAAAUAACACAGCAUCAGUGACCUUCUCGGCCCUUUGCACCUGGGGCCCCUGCUCAGCAGCCUGCUCUCCCCAGUGCUGUCCAGGUGGGCUGCCUCCAGGCCAGGACCCAGCAGUGUUCAGACAGAGCAUGUGGGAGGCAGGUUCCUGAGUCCCCGGGUAUGGGAAAAUGCCUCUGUUCCGUCAGAGCACUCAACUGUGGGCGGGAAACUGUUCUCAAAACUCAGAGGCCCCGGCCAUGGUCUCCCACUGUCCAGAUCACUGUGGAAAGCUGGUGCCCUCCCGUGAUCAGUCCUUCACAGACCUUACAUUUGGUCCUGCUCCGCUGCCUGUCUGAAAGUUUUCAGGAUCUUCAAUGUAAACUCACUGUCUGCAGCUUCAUAAUGAGGGACUUGGAGUGGGUUUUCCCUCUGUCAUCUGCUCAGCAUUCUAGGGCCUCUCAAUUUGGACAACAAUACCCUUCUAUUUGAGAGGUAUUUUCUUGUUAUUUGUGUGUGUGUGCGCGAGUGUGUGCACG